This 492-nucleotide ribosomal RNA is filed under the name uncultured bacterium. RNAcentral describes it as "partial 16S ribosomal RNA". It matches the Rfam family "Bacterial small subunit ribosomal RNA", at positions 30 to 507 of the family's 1533-position model. The record is from RNAcentral.
AUUGAACGCUGGCGGCAUGCUUUACACAUGCAAGUCGAACGGUAACAGGCCUUCGGGUGCUGACGAGUGGCGCACGGGUGAGUAAUGCAUCGGAACGUGCCCAGAGGUGGGGGAUAACGCAGCGAAAGCUGUGCUAAUACCGCAUGUGAUCUGAGGAUGAAAGCGGGGGACCAAGCAGCAAUGUUUGGCCUCGCGCCUCUGGAGCGGCCGAUGUCAGAUUAGGUAGUUGGUGGGGUAAAGGCCUACCAAGCCGACGAUCUGUAGCUGGUCUGAGAGGACGACCAGCCACACUGGGACUGAGACACGGCCCAGACUCCUACGGGAGGCAGCAGUGGGAAAUUUUGGACAAUGGGCGCAAGCCUGAUCCAGCAAUGCCGCGUGCGGGAAGAAGGCCUUCGGGUUGUAAACCGCUUUUGUACGGAACGAAAAGGCUCUGGCUAAUACCUGGGGCUGAUGACGGUACCGUAAGAAUAAGCACCGGCUAACUACGUG